Non-coding RNA from Drosophila melanogaster (fruit fly), 366 nucleotides. Lineage: Eukaryota; Metazoa; Arthropoda; Insecta; Diptera; Drosophilidae. The record is from Ensembl.
ACUUUUUGAUUACUUUAAAAUUCUGGUAAUAUGGGUAACACAUAUUGUAAUAUGAUUUUACCGACUUGCACGGAUCAGGCUGCAGGCACAGGCUGCCUAGCCAGUUUGGAUUUCUGACCGGCUGAGUGGAUGCCUGGUGUCUGCUGUUGGCAAAAUGUCAAGUGUCUGCCGCGGAAAUGAGGCCGUUGUGGCAGCUAGACUCCGCGGAUAAAGUCCAAGUAGAAGUUGCCACACGUACUUGCAGUGCAACUCGAGGAACUCGCUAAAGUUGACAUCUUAUUUGGCGAAGGAUUCUUCAAAUGUGCAAUUUAUUGAGCAACCAAUAUAAACAAACCACAUUGGAUUGGACUUUUAAAUAAAUUAAUU